CCCUACCUAUAUUUUUGUAUUUCAAUUGAAUGAAGGAAUGCACUGUACAAAAAGAAAAUAGCAAAGCAGAAAAAUUACAAGGCGUAUGGGCCCAAAAGAGGGAAAAAGAAAACUAAGACUCAAGGAAACUAUCUCUCCAGACUGUUAGUGAGACUCUUCUCUUUUCGUUGGCCUUGAUGCACGCUAGGUCCAACUCUUCCUUGAGUCUACUUCUCCAGAGUGACAGGCUACAGGAUCCAUUAUAAAAAAUGAUGGAGUUUCUCAAUGUCCAUAAUACCCAACAACCAGUAAUGAUUAUUUCCCUGAAGAUGGCAUUUCCAAACUGUCUUCUAGACUUUAUUACCAUGUCUAGAGGGGUAGAUUCAGGUUCCAGUUAAUUGAUAUGGAGUUCCAGCAAGCCUGACUGAGGGAGCACUCAAAGAAAAGGUGAAAGCUAGUUUCCUCAUGGCCUGUAGAGCAAAGCACACAACUGUAGUCAUCCAGAUGCAUAUUUUUCCUUCUUAAUAAGUUUCUUGCUGAGUCUGUCUCUAAGAAGCAACCAGAAGAAAAAUUUAUGUUUCCCAAGGUUGCUGGAGGACCAGAGCCAAGAGAAGAGGGAAGAAGCUUCUUCCACGUUCUGAAUAAGGAGGUUGUAAACUUUCUUGCUGCUGAAAUAUAUGCAGGGAUAUCAGUCACAUUUUCAUCCCAUUCUCUGCCUAAUUCAGAGUCCAGUAGGUCACUUAACUGUCUAGCAACUUGUGUUGAUAGAGGUAGUCUAAAGUUCACUUCCAUUUCAUUAUUAAGGAAGAAUCUGAUGGAACAUUUAGGUUUCCUGCUAAAAGAGAAGAGUUGAGGGUAUUUGUCUUUCAAGGCUGAUGAGCACCAAUUACCCGACCAGAAAAGAUCACUGUUUCCCCAAUUAGGUGUGCAUUCUGUGAGUUUGUUAUAUGCUCCAAACAGUUUUAAGACUUCUUUCCACCAGAAAGAUCCAACUGGACUUCUUGCUUGUGGUGGAGUUUGAUUGCUGCAAUAUAACUUGGACCAUGUCAAUUUUACCCAGGGGAGCUCUGCAUGGUUGUAGAAGUUAUUUAAAUGUUUCAUCAACAGGGCAUCAUUGUGUUUUUCAAUGUCGAUAAUGCCCAGCCCUCCCUGGUUUUUGGGCUUGCAAACUGUCUCCCAGGCCACUAAACAGGAUCCUUUUCUAUUGAUAUCACCCUUGCUCCAGAGACAGUGCUUUCUGUAUUUAUCUAUCUGUUUGACAACCUGUGGAGGUAGCUUGAGACGGCACAUGUAGAAGGUGGGGAGAGCAGUGAGGACAGAAUUAACCAGGAUUAGCCUUCCAUCAUAAGAUAGUAAUUUACUGAACCCAGGGAGUCUUCUUUCAAUUCUAUUGAGGAGAGGGGUGAAGUCCUGUACAGUAAGUUUCGUAGUGCCCAAAGGGAGCUCCAGAUAGGUGAAAGGCAUAGUGCCUAACUGGCAACCAAAGGUCAGGGCCAGAUGCUGGGCUCUUUCAUUUGUCAUGUUUAUAGGGACCAGAAAUGAUUUGCUGAAAUUUACAUGUAGGCCACAAGAGUCAGAAAAAGUUCUAAGGAGGCCUUUCAGGUUGAAGAGCGUUC
This 1595-nucleotide long non-coding RNA is filed under the name Sorghum bicolor (sorghum). Its description in RNAcentral is "long non-coding RNA (SBIC_LNC014364)". The record is from RNAcentral. Lineage: Eukaryota; Viridiplantae; Streptophyta; Magnoliopsida; Poales; Poaceae.